RNAcentral lists this unclassified non-coding RNA (246 nucleotides) under plant metagenome. RNAcentral describes it as "partial contains small subunit ribosomal RNA, internal transcribed spacer 1, and 5.8S ribosomal RNA". The stretch from base 1 to 53 matches the Rfam family "Eukaryotic small subunit ribosomal RNA", at positions 1778 to 1831 of the family's 1831-position model. The record is from RNAcentral.
GGAAGUAAAAGUCGUACAAGGUCUCCGUUGGUGAACCAGCGGAGGGAUCAUUACAGGACUCGCAAGACUCCUACAACCCUGUGAACUUAACUAUAAGCACGUUGCUUCGGCGGGUGUCUCGGAGAAGGUUCUCCCUCCCCGGGGCGCUAAGCCCGCCGGCAGCCUACUAUACUCUGUCUCUUUGCGUUGGCAUCUCGAGUACAAACAAACAAGUUAAAACUUUCAACAACGGAUCUCUUGGUUCUG